UGCAAGUCGAACGGGGAAUUAAGCUGCUUGCAGCUUGACUCUCCGUGGCAGACGGGUGCGUAACGCGUGGGAACUUACCUGGUAGUAGGGAAUAACCAGUAGAAAUACUGGGCAAAACCCUAUACGCCCUCCGGGGGAAAAAUUUAUUGCUAUCAGAUAGGCCCGCGUUAGAUUAGCUUGUUGGUGAGGUAAUGGCUCACCAAGGCGACGAUCUAUAGCUGGUCUGAGAGGAUGAUCAGCCACACUGGAACUGAGACACGGUCCAGACUCCUACGGGAGGCAGCAGUGAGGAAUAUUGGACAAUGGGCGAAAGCCUGAUCCAGCAAUGCCGCGUGAGUGAAGAAGGCCUUCGGGUUGUAAAGCUCUUUUGUCAGGGAAGAAACGGUGGGAGCUAAUAUCUCUUGCUAAUGACGGUACCUGAAGAAUAAGCGCCGGCUAACUACGUGCCAGCAGCCGCGGUAAU
This 463-nucleotide ribosomal RNA is filed under the name uncultured bacterium. RNAcentral's name for it is "bacterial SSU rRNA". It matches the Rfam family "Bacterial small subunit ribosomal RNA", at positions 56 to 524 of the family's 1533-position model. The record is from RNAcentral.